CGGGAUGCGAAGUUCCGCCUGGCACCCGCCCCCCGGUUGCCCAGUCCCAGGCGUGCAGGAGGGCAGAGCCAGCCGGCCGCUUCAGUGUCUCGCUGGCUCGGCUGCCCCCGAACUUGCGGUGCAGAGCUGCCCACAGCAAAAGAGCCUGCCGUGGCGCUCUGACCGACAGACGGGCUCUUCUCUGGACUCAACUCUCAGGCCUCGAACUCUCGGCCUGGCACCCCUGAGAGCCCAGCACCCAGGUGCCCCGCACCCCUAGCGUCUAUGGGUAAGACGGCCCUGGUUCUUAUGAUACUAGAUUUACCUGUGUUUUAUUUUAUAAAUGUGAUCUCGUGAUGCUUUGUGCUUUUAUUUAUAUACUAUUAUAAGUUUUCGGAAAAGUAGGCUAUCUGUGGGAUAUAAAGCUGUCAGUCAAGUCCAACAUCCCAAGAGAGGACUAACUGCCUCUAUGUGGCAGGCAGUUUUGUCGGUUGGUUGGUCGGUUACUGCAAGGAGUGUUAACUGGUAACUGCUCGGAUGCAGUCUUCUCAUGACUCACUACUAUCUAGUAUAUAGUUUAUCUGUUAUGUAACCUAAGCCUGCCUUCAGGAACAACUCUGUAAACCUGAAUGAAUCUGAUAGUAAAGUAGUUUAUGUUAAUAUGAUUCAGAUUCAUGUGUGUUGUCUUUAAGAGGGACAGAAAGGGAUUAUCAACCAGGUAUCAACCAGCACUGGCUCCCGGCCUCUAGAGUUAGGUGAGCGCACAACCCUAGAGUCUGUCAAGACUGGCCCUACGGGCAGGGGUACCUUUACCUUUACCUAUAAUUAUUGAUAGGACUCAAAACGAGCUAGCAACCCGUUUGUCGUUGCAUUAACUAAAACAGGGGAUCGUUUAAACUCUACUAAAUUAUAUAAACGUUUCCGCACUAUCUAGAAUAAAAAGGGCCCUUCUAGUUUAAAGAAUGACACUAACGGUAGACAUUGUGUAAUUUCUACUAUACCAACAGAAUGCUGAAAACUACAUUUUUUAAUUUAAAAAAAAUAAGGGAAGUUUCUAAUAAUGACAAUUUGGUAUGAAUAGACAAUAGAUUCCAAUACCCUUAGGCAAAUCAGUAUAUAAUGGAUGAUGUGGUGUAGCCCCUCUCCUACUGUUUAUUUUCUAAUGAAUAUUUUUAUUCAUUUUUAGGUCAACAGGAGUAUAUAACCAACCAAGAACAUCACACUGUAUUGGUCUUUACAACCUCUUCGAUGUCUGCAUUGGCUCAGUUCAAUAAAUCAUUCCACAGGCUCAA
Podarcis lilfordi (Lilford's wall lizard) is the source of this 1271-nucleotide non-coding RNA. The record is from the annotation of a GenBank genome assembly. Lineage: Eukaryota; Metazoa; Chordata; Lepidosauria; Squamata; Lacertidae.